Molecule: non-coding RNA, 77 nt
Organism: Danionella cerebrum
Lineage: Eukaryota; Metazoa; Chordata; Actinopteri; Cypriniformes; Danionidae
Source: the annotation of a GenBank genome assembly
GUCCUUUUUGGGUGAUUUAGUGGUUAGGAUUUUGCCCCUCAAUCAGAAGGUUCCAGGUUUAAACCCUGGAUAGGAUC